Molecule: ribosomal RNA, 497 nt
Filed under: uncultured bacterium
Lineage: Bacteria
Description: partial 16S ribosomal RNA
Rfam family: Bacterial small subunit ribosomal RNA
Source: RNAcentral
GAUGAACGCUGGCGGCGUGCCUAAUACAUGCAAGUCGAGCGAACGGACGAGAAGCUUGCUUCUCUGAUGUUAGCGGCGGACGGGUGAGUAACACGUGGAUAACCUACCUAUAAGACUGGGAUAACUUCGGGAAACCGUAGCUAAUACCGGAUAAUAUUUUGAACCGCAUGGUUCAAUAGUGAAAGACGGUCUUGCUGUCACUUAUAGAUGGAUCCGCGCUGCAUUAGCUAGUUGGUAAGGUAACGGCUUACCAAGGCAACGAUGCAUAGCCGACCUGAGAGGGUGAUCGGCCACACUGGAACUGAGACACGGUCCAGACUCCUACGGGAGGCAGCAGUAGGGAAUCUUCCGCAAUGGGCGAAAGCCUGACGGAGCAACGCCGCGUGAGUGAUGAAGGUCUUCGGAUCGUAAAACUCUGUUAUUAGGGAAGAACAUAUGUGUAAGUAACUGUGCACGUCUUGACGGUACCUAAUCAGAAAGCCACGGCUAACUACGUG